This 28-nucleotide non-coding RNA is filed under the name Bombyx mori (domestic silkworm). Lineage: Eukaryota; Metazoa; Arthropoda; Insecta; Lepidoptera; Bombycidae. The record is from RNAcentral.
UAAUAAACGUCCUUGCCGCACCCUGCGC